UUUAUUUACACCCUGACCACAUCACCCAGGAUCUCGGGCAGCUGAGGACAGCACAAGGCCACCAGCCCGGUGCCCUGGGCUGGGACACAAAGAUAUAACAGAUUUACAGCAAAGUGCGUACAUUGUCACGGCACAGCUUGGUGAAUUUUUACACCGGUACAAACCUGUGUGACCUCCACCCAUCGCAUUAAGGGACAUUCUCACGGUCCAGGGUCCCCGCCUGCAGGAGACUGUUAUCCUGACUUCACUAGCAUCCCAGAGCUUUCCUGGUCUUGUUUUUAGUACUGGGGAUGGAGACCAAGGCCUUCUCUCUGAGCACCACCCUCGGCCCUUUUUAUUCUUUGAGACACAGGCUUGCUAAAUCACUGAACUGCUCAGGCUGAGUUUGGACUUGAGAUCCUCCUGCCUCAGCCUUCUAGAGUCUGGGGGCACAGGCAUGCACCACCACUCCUGGCUGGGGUUGGGGAUAUUAAAACUGAGAUCUGUUAGUUCCUGGAGAACCUCUGCUUCGCCAUGACCUCGCUGGCCGUGGGGGCACAGAGCUGGCCGUCUUCGGGGUGCAUGAUGGGCGGGGCCUUGCCCGGGCCCUCCCAGGACCAGUGUGAGAGCCCCGCCUAGCAGGCAUGCCUGUGCUGUGUGUGCGUUUCUCUGUGUUUUUUGGUUUUUCCCCACUGAGGCAUUUUUUGUGUCCAUUUCUCAUCUCUGGAAUAAGAGCCCCAGGAUCUCCUCCCUCCUGUGUGUUUCCCUCAUGUUCCUUUGUGGCUCGGGAUGGCCCGGGGACAGCAGGGGACAGAUAGCUCUUGGGUCGUUCAGCUGAGAUCAAAGCCCGGCUGCUCCCUUGGCUGGUCAGACCUGCCAGUGAGGUUCACGGCCUCCCACCCUGUGAUGUCAGCGACCUGGACUCCGCCCUGGGACCUGCGGAGUCACCACAGGUGGAAGCCGGACACUGGCUGUGGAGCCUGGCGUGGGCAGGGCUGAUGCAGAGGUCCCAGGAGGCCUGGAUCCCCUGCACAGCCCAAGGCCGAGUCUCAGACUGGGUGGCACUGACAGCUGGCAGUGGAAGAUGGAAACUUCAGAGUCACUCGCCAGCCUGGGAUCUCUACUUUGGCUUAGAUAUUUUUCCCCACUGCUUGAUUGGAGAUGGAGUCUCACUGUGUAGCCCAUGCUGGCCUUGAAGGUGUGGGGUCUUCCUGCUUCAGCCUCCCAAGUGCUGGGAUGAGAGGCCGCACAGAGAGCGAGAAGUGACCUCGGCCCCCCAGCACCCGUGGGCGCCAGAGCGUCGGGCUCUUCCUUCUCCCCCCAGUCGGAUCCCAGGUCCUAGACCCCUUGCCGAUGCCCAGUGGGGGAAGGGAGGUGGGUUUGGGGAUUUUUGCUGUGCCUGGCCUUGAACCCACAGUGUAGGUACUCCAAGCCCUUCUGCCUCAGCCUUCUGAGUCCCGGUCUCCAAAGUGGGUGCCGUCGCCAGCAGCCCUCAGUGCGGAUCCCGGGGUCCGCCAAGGUUGCCCCUCAGUCCUGUGAGCUUGGGCCCCGUCCGAAGCCUCAGCUUGCCCAUCUGUAGAAUGAGUUCCAUCAGCCUGCUGCUCCCGACCUCCCCAGGGUGCUGGGGAGCCAGGGCCAGGCCAGGAGGGGCAGCACAGGUGGGUCCCCAGCUCGGGCUCUGCACAUGACCCUCGCCUUGUGCUGCAUCGGGGUGCUCCUGGCUUUGCUCACUGUUAGAAAGAGUGGAGACCCCGGAGGGGUCACAGCCUGGCUCUUUGGAGGGUGAGUGCUGUUCCCAGGAGCCCUGGUGGCCACCUCGGAGGUUCUCUGGGGGGCAGGGGAUGCUCGGGGGUGGGGGCACAGAGGGUCCAGGACCCCGCCCCACCCUUCCGUGGCAGUGGUAAAGACAUCUUCCCCCAUCCAUGGUGUGGACCAGGAAUUGGCGCAAGAGCCACGGAGUCCGAGAUCCUGGCAGUUACCUGGGCACAACCGAUUUUGCAGGACAAGACAGGGUGGGGGGUGGGGCUACGGAGUUGCCUGUGAUGACUGCCAGCAGGCAGCCACCAAAGAGGCCGAGGCGCAUGGUGAGUGGCCGUGGUGCUUGCUGCCACCCCUCCAGAGGGCCCUGAGUCCCAGUACCUGGGCAGCACAGUGUGCUCAGGAGGUUGGAGGCUCCCAGUCCUCCAGGAGAGGUGUGGGGCAUCCACAGCUGGUCAUGAGGGUGCCCUGAGCAGGUACUGGGCAGUGGGGAGGCUCGGGCUCUGGGUCCAGGUGAGUGUAAGUCAGGUGGGGGUGCUGUGAGGCCACAGGUGACUUCUCUAUUUCCGCUUUUUGUCUUAUUUGGGUUUUCUGAAACUUUCCUUGUAGCAUAUAGCUUUUUUCCCUCCUUUGGCAGUACUGGGGAUUGAACCCAGGGCUUUUGUGUUAGCUACACCCCACCCUUAUUUAUUUAUUUAUUUGGAAAAGGUCUCUCUAUGUAGCCCAGGCUGGCCUUACACUCAUGGCGAUCCUCCUGCCUCAGCCUCCCGAGUGCUGAGAUAAUUCUAUGAUUAGUGAAUAAACACACACACACACACACACACACACACACACACACACACACACACUGGAGAGCCCCUGCAGCCAUUAAGAAAGGCCCGGGGCAGCUGCGGGCACUCCUCUGCGAGGCCAGGCCUUAUUUGGGCAGAGCUGUGGCAGAUUCCAGCAGGCGCCCUCCCGGCCCCGCCCCCAGCGCUGGUGCCCGGCCAGCUGCGGCCGGGCUGCUCCCUCCCACCGCCCGUCUUUGGUAGCCGCAGCCGCUGGCCGGGGCCAGUCCACACAUCUGGACCUCGUUAGAGGCGGCCGGCACCAAAGCCGACACAUCUGGCCGCGGCAAGACAAAAGUGCGCUUCGGGGCGCAGGGGGAAAGGGGCGCGUCAGGACAGCGCGGGCCACAUCUGGGAGCUGGCGGGCUGGUCCCGGGUCCCAGGGAUGGCCCUGCUGCACCCCUCUGGCUGGGAGCCUCUGUCACUGGAGGCCUCUAUGGCAGGCGUGGGGAACAAAGGCAAACUCAGGUCCCACGCACAGUGCCCUCAGCCUGGGGGGCCUUCAGCCCCGUCUGGGCAGCAGCUCCCAGGAGGGCAGGCUCCGACCACAGAAGGAGAAUCCUGUUUGCUUUUGAGGCAGGAUCUCUUUAAGUCACUAAAUUCCCCAGGAUGGGGAAGAACUGGACACCCUCCUGCCUCAGCCUCCCAGAGUGCUUGGGUCAGGUGCUCACUGCGGUGCCCAUGGUUGAGCGGGGAGGGAGGACGUAAAGGAGACCUGUUGGGCACAGAGGACGCAGCUGCUGUCCUCGCCCUGGGUCCCCUCUCACUCCCGUGCUGCCAUUACUUGUCCCUCUAGAAGGCUGAGGUCCUGGGGCUGAGUGGCUGUGGCAGCCAGUGGUGUUUGUCCAGAGGAUCUGGGCAAAGCUGGGAGCCCAUCCCGGUGAAGCCAGGGCGCAGGUUCUGCCCACAAAGCUCACGGACCCUGCUUUCCUGCUGUGUUGAAUCCAACCCCUUGAGCCAGACUCCUGGAGUGUAAGAUAAGGAUGAUCCACAAGUACUUUAAGUUCUGUAGGAAAAAUACACAAGCUCUGUGCCAGAUGUUGGCACCUCCCAGUAAUCUCGGGAAUCAGGAGGCUGAGGCAAGAGGAUCCCAAAUUCGAGGCCAGCCUGGGCUGCGUAACAAGACCCUAUCUCAAGAAACAUUAGUAAAAACAAAAACACAAGAUUGUACAGUUCUCUGGUACAAAUGUAGUGUAACUACAUACAUAAUUUGGAGAGAGGGUUUUCCAUUUUCAUUGGGAUUAAUUUUUUUUUAGACAGGAUCUUGCUGGGCCAUUCAGGCUGAGUUUGAACUUACCAUCUCAGGCUGGCCUUGAACUUGCAGCGAUCCUCCUGCCUCAGCCUCCCAAGUGCUGGUAUUACAGGUGUGUGCCACAAACCUCGAGGAAAAAUAUUGAUUUAUAGAGAAGUUGCAAUGAUAUUUCAGAGUUCCAGUAAACUCCUCACCCAAGUGCCCUAAGGUCAGUGACUAGCGUAACCACGGUACAGCUGCCAAAACUAAGAAAUUAACGCUGGCACAGUGCGACUGACAAGACGGCAGACAGGCUGAGGGUUCCACCGGUUUUUCCAACACAUAUACGCUUGAAAUUUUUCUUUUUCUUAAGACAGGGUCUUGCUGUGUAGUACAGGCUGGCCUCAGACUCAUCAGGCUGCCCUUGAACUCCAGGCGAUCCUCCUGCCUCAGCCUCCUGAGUGCUGGGAUCUGAGGUGUGCGUCCCUGUGCCCAGCCGAGAGCUGAUUUUCUAGUUACAGAGGGCGGGAGGGGCAGCUGCCGCGCGGUUGGUAGCCUUUGUGCCCACAGGUCGGACCCCUCCUCCAGCCUUGGAAACCUAAUUAAUCAGGGAGCCUCAGACCACCUGCGCUGGCUGAUGCAGCUCCAGACUGAGGAGGCGGAGGGAUCGAGGUGUCUUGGGGACAUUUGUGACUCACACUUCAGUGGGGAGUCACCAGCGCACUGUGAAGAGGAUACCAGUCCCCCGGGGACACUGGUUCUCGCCCUGUCCCCUCCCCCUCCCUGCCCUGCAGACCGCAUGGACCCUGGAUCAGCAUCCAGCAAGGUCCUUCCGGGGCUGGUAUCUCCUGGCCAUGCUCGGCUGUCGCAGGGACACAGAACAGCUCUGGCUGGAGAGGGGAGGAGACGAGCCGGCUCUGGGCAGGGCGCUCUGUGGCCCUCAGCUCCCAGGGAUCCAAACCAGGCCUGACAGCAAAGCCCUUAUUUUUGUGGUAGUGGUUGUUUGUUUGUUUGUUCUGUGUUUUGAGAUGAGGUUGCUAUACAGUAGCCCAGGCUGGUUCUGAACUCGAGGUGAUCCUCCUGCCUCAGCCUGCCAAAUGCUGGGAUGAUAGGUGUGUGCCACCAGGCCCAGCCAUCUUCUAUGAAAUGCAACAAACACAUUUCAGGGGCUGCUGUCAGAAUUGGUAAGCUGCCGAGCAUGGUGGCUCAUACCUGUAAUCCCAGCACUCAGGAGGCUGAGGCAGGAGGAUUGCUGUGAGUUUGAGACCAGCCUGGGCUACAAAGUGAGCUCAAGGCCAGCCUGAACUGCAUAGAGAGACCCUGUCUCAAAAAGACCAAAAAAAAAAAAAAAAAAAAAAAAAGAAUUAGCAAGCUAUCCAG
Molecule: long non-coding RNA, 5175 nt
Organism: Cavia porcellus (domestic guinea pig)
Lineage: Eukaryota; Metazoa; Chordata; Mammalia; Rodentia; Caviidae
Exons: 3
Source: RefSeq, a predicted model, not a curated record